GACGAACGCUGGCGGCGUGCUUAACACAUGCAAGUCGAACGGAAAGGCCCUGCUUUUGUGGGGUGCUCGAGUGGCGAACGGGUGUGUAACACGUGAGUAACCUGCCCUUGACUUUGGGAUAACUUCAGGAAACUGGGGCUAAUACCGGAUAGGAGCUCCUGCUGCAUGGUGUGGGUUGGAUAGUUUCGGCGGUUGGGGAUGGACUCGCUGCUUAUCAGCUUGUUGGUGGGGUAGUGGCUUACCAAGGCUUUGACGGGUAGCCGGCCUGAGAGGGUGAACGGCGACAUUGGGACUGAGAUAGGGCGCAGAAGCCAACGGGAGGCAGCAGGGGGGAAUAUUGCACAAUGGGCGGAAGCGUGAUGAAGAAACGCCGGGAGCGGGAUGACGGGCUACGGGUUGAAAACAGAUUUCGAAUGAGAAGAAGAGUGAGUGACGGUAAUGGGUAAAGAAGCACCGGCUAACUACGUG
RNAcentral lists this ribosomal RNA (468 nucleotides) under uncultured bacterium. RNAcentral's name for it is "partial 16S ribosomal RNA". It matches the Rfam family "Bacterial small subunit ribosomal RNA", at positions 28 to 507 of the family's 1533-position model. The record is from RNAcentral.